AAGUCCUUAUGGUGAUAUCUUUGUGGAAAAAAACAACUCUUCAUGCCUUAGAGGUCAGCUGUUCAGCUUGAGCUAUGGCUGUUCCUUCUAGUUCUCUUUUUAUGCCAUGUACUGACCUGACCUGCUGACAAGACAAACCUGCGUUCCUCUGGGUUACCAAGAGGCUCAAACCCCUUCCAGGAUGCAAUGCACCAAAACACUGGCUGGCACCAUCAGCAGGAUGUUACCAUGCAACUGUUUGGUGCCCAGUCUGACAGAGGUACCUCUGCUGGCCUCCCAUUGAUGGGGAUACCAGUCCUCUUGUAGCCUGGGAAAUCUGUGGGCAGCUUCUGAAGACAGUCUCCAUCUUAAGAACCACCCAGAAGUUUGGAAGAUCUUGUGUUUGAACUGUGAUCCCUGAGGUGAGAUCAAGCUUCAUGCUAAGAGUUGGCCUCCAUUUGAUGUGAAUACUGAGAAGCUGCUGCAGGCUACCACUGAUUGGAAUUUACUUGUAUUAGUCUAAUUGCGUGCUCUGCCAUCAUCUGUUUGCAAUCACAAAGAGGAAGCUUCUGAAGCUUGGGAAUGAGGGAAAAUGAAGUGUCUUAACAACUACAAAACAUUGAGAAUGCUUUUGGAGGCUUUCCCAUCAGUUUCCAUCUGAUCCUCUGCUCUGAAGAGAAUAUCAUUGAGGAGCAGUUUGAGAUAAGCACAGGGACCAGAAGAGUAUAAAGAGCUCCUGAUGGCUGUCAGAACACAGUAGCACUUGGCCUAGAAGACAAGCUGCCUUCCAGCCACAAUCCCUCACCAUAGCUGAUGCAGCGGUGACCUCCACAGAUGGCAGCCAGCAGCAGAACCACAGUGGGACCUGCAGCGAUACAAGGGCUGGCACUUUGGAUUGCAACAUGACUGAAAGGAAAAGCGUGAAGGCUACAGGAAUUUCUGCUCUAUGGAAAAAUGUUAUUUUUGGAGUCUUCGGGAAGGCGUGCAUAUAAACCCCCGGUUCCCUGGUAUCUGCUCCAGUCAGUGCUCCAUCCUCUUGUUCUCAUCCCACAUUGUGCCUGGAUAGCCUGACGGGCCAUAGGAAGCCUUCUGCUGUUUCCAGACAUCGGGACAGUUUUGCAUCCCUGUGCCAGGUCUGUGCCCAUGUACUGGUGGCUGGGGUGGCUGCCCAGCAGGGAGACAUCCUGCUGGCACCCAGGCUGCCUUAGGGAAGAAGCUGCUGCUUCUGAUCAUCUCUGAGAUGUUGGAGCCAGCAGUUUCCUGGACAGAGAUGUCUUCUCAGCACUGUUUAAGGAGUCUCAGAGGCUGCACCAUCCUUGCACUGGCUGAACAUGACUUCUCCUCCCCAUCCACUUCAUCUUGCACCAGUACCUGCUUGUGAGAACCCUGGGAGCCAGCCACGGCGCUCACAUUGGAUCAUAAUGGGCCACAAGGUAGGAUGUCUUCCUGGAUAAAGCACUAGAUUAAAGCCCAAGAGUCAAUGUCUUCAUCCUGUCCCCCCCCAUGCCUCAUUUUAUCUGAUUAUUAGUUCAAAGUGACAUAGAAAAUCACUGUCAAUGGCAUUGGGAAAGACACUGGAAGGUUUGGUGGCAGGUAGACCUUCCCCUGCAUCAGCAGCUUCGUUCCAGAGCACAGAGGAGUAAUGAUGCCUGGCAGUCACUCCUGUGCCACACUGGUGGUCAGGAGAUCCACAUCCUGCAGCUGUCAAAUGAAUCUGUAAAGCAGAGGGAGGGUCACAAGAUUCUGUUGCUUUGAGGAAUCACAGCUUUGUUUUCCAACCCCAAGAAGUCCUCAGAAACCUACCUCUGGAGGAGCAGUGGCCUAACCUCCCCCAUCUUCUCUACAGCAUUCAUUGAGUGCGUACAGCAGUUAAGGAACUUCUGCCCUCAGUCAUCCUGGACAGAAGCGCGGGGUUGGAGCAGUUUUGAGGUGUGACAGCAGGGGAACCUCCUCAGAGGCUGGUCCUGUCCCCAUGUGCCAUUUGUCCUCUCCUAGAUGCCAGUAGCAGGGACGGGA
Long non-coding RNA from Pezoporus flaviventris, 1995 nucleotides. RefSeq lists it as uncharacterized. The record is from RefSeq and is a predicted model, not a curated record. The transcript has 9 exons. NCBI's taxonomy places the organism in Eukaryota, Metazoa, Chordata, Aves, Psittaciformes, Psittacidae.